GAUGAAGAACGUAGCGAAAUGCGAUAAGUAGUGUGCAUUGCAGAAUUCAGUGAAUCAUCGAAUCUUUGAACGCACAUUGCGCCCCAUGGUAUUCCGUGGGGCAUGCCUGUUCGAGCGUCAUUUACCCCCUCAAGCUCCGCUUGGUGUUGGGCGUCUGUCCCGCUUCGCGCGCGGACUCGCCCCAAAGGUAUUGGCAGCGGUCGUGCCAGCUUCUCGCGCAGCACAUUGCGCUUCUCGAGGCACCGGUGGGCCCGCGUCCAUCAAGCUCACCCCCCCAGUUUGACCUCGGAUCAGGUAGGGAUACCCGCUGAACUUAAGCAUAUCAAUAAGCGGAGGA
This 337-nucleotide unclassified non-coding RNA is filed under the name soil metagenome. RNAcentral's name for it is "partial contains 5.8S ribosomal RNA, internal transcribed spacer 2, and large subunit ribosomal RNA". The stretch from base 1 to 120 matches the Rfam family "5.8S ribosomal RNA", at positions 35 to 154 of the family's 154-position model. The record is from RNAcentral.